UACAGAGGUCCCAAGCGUUGUUCGGAUUCACUGGGCGUAAAGGGUGCGUAGGUGGUCAGGUAAGUCGGAUGUGAAAUCUCCGAGCUCAACUCGGAAAUGGCAUUGGAAACUACCUGGCUCGAGGGUUGGAGGGGGGACUGGAAUGCUUGGUGUAGCAGUGAAAUGCGUAGAUAUCAAGCGGAACACCAGUGGCGAAGGCGAGUCCCUGGACAACUCCUGACACUGAGGCACGAAAGCUAGGGGAGCAAACAGG
Molecule: ribosomal RNA, 253 nt
Filed under: uncultured bacterium
Lineage: Bacteria
Description: partial 16S ribosomal RNA
Rfam family: Bacterial small subunit ribosomal RNA
Source: RNAcentral